GCACCACAAGGCGUGAAGCUUGCGGUUCAAUUGGAGUCAACGCCGGGAACCUUACCGGGGGCGACAGCAGGAUGAAGGCCAGGUUGAUGGUCUUGCUGGACGAGCUGAGAGGAGGCGCAUGGCCGUCGUCAGUUCGUGCCGUCACCCCCUCCUCUUAAGUGAGGUAACGAUCGAGACCCGCGCCCCUUGUUGCUAACAGACUCCAUCGGGGUCUGUGCACACUAGGGGGACCGCCGUCGAUAAGACGGAGGAAGGAGCGGGCCACGGCAGGUCAGUAUGCCCCGAAUCCCCCGGGCCACACGCGAGCUGCAAUGGCAGGGACAAUGGGUGUCGACUCCGAAAGGAGGAGGUAAUCUCUAAACCCUGCCUCAGUUGGGAUCGAGGGCUGAAACCCGUCCUCGUGAAUAUGGAAUGCCUAGUAAUCGCGCGUCAUCAUCGCGCGGUGAAUACGUCCCCGCUCCUUGCACACACCGCCCGUCGUUCCAUCCGAGUGGGGUUUGGGUGAGGCGUAGUCCUUGGUGGCUGCGUCGAACCCAGGUUCCGCAAGGAGGGAAAAGUCGUAACAAGGUAACCAAUCCCGCGGC
RNAcentral lists this ribosomal RNA (584 nucleotides) under uncultured archaeon. Its description in RNAcentral is "bacterial SSU rRNA". It matches the Rfam family "Archaeal small subunit ribosomal RNA", at positions 876 to 1478 of the family's 1478-position model. The record is from RNAcentral.